GCGGCCCCAGCCAUGCGCGCUCGCUACGUGCCUGGCGGAGUACUUUGCUGACGCUUAUCAUAGGCUGCAGCACGGUAGGCUCCACGGCGAGUCCUACAUUACCGCUAUCGCGCGCUCCUUAGGGAUCGUACCCGAGAGUGACUCGUUGCUGUCCCCGGUCAUUCUGCCGAAUACAUUAGGCCGUGCGUCAGUAUCAAGCAUUCGUUUGACGCACAUGUUUGACGGGAUUGGCCUGCGGUUUUGGACGCGCGAUUACCAGGUUUUUCAACCCGAGGUGUUACCGGAGGUGAUCCCAGUUGUUAUUGAGCUUAGGGAUGGAGUACUAGCGCCUCCGGCUGUUCAGGCUGCAGCUCGACAGGCUCAACUUGAGGCUCUAGGUCUGGAUCAGCCUGAGGAUCAGGCUCAGGCUCAGCCUUCGCCUCCACCACAUUCGCCUCCAUCUGAUCGCGUCAUUGACGACGAGAUCCCACUACCGCCGCCGCCACCUCCGCACCCACCGCAGUACCCACAGCACGUCUAUGCAGACCUGCCUCAUGCUGCACAGGCGGUGGCUCGGGACUUCGAUCGGCGCCUCCGACGUUCUGAGCGAUACCAGAUGUGGAUCAUAGAGAUGCUUAUGGAGCUCCGGGCUCACGCGGGAUUGCCGCCCUAUCCACUGCCAUCGUCCCCACCGCCAGAGGAUCCGUAGC
Molecule: long non-coding RNA, 689 nt
Filed under: Helianthus annuus (common sunflower)
Lineage: Eukaryota; Viridiplantae; Streptophyta; Magnoliopsida; Asterales; Asteraceae
Description: hypothetical non coding rna
Source: RNAcentral